Molecule: non-coding RNA, 145 nt
Organism: Gossypium hirsutum (cotton)
Lineage: Eukaryota; Viridiplantae; Streptophyta; Magnoliopsida; Malvales; Malvaceae
Source: Rfam
UGUUAAAAUUUUGAUCUAUUUGUAUUGUUAAAAAUUCACGUGGCUCACAGAAUAACUAGACAAUUACACGUGGUAUGUCGCAUGUACCUCAUGCGGACAUACAUGAACUAGUUUUUAAUAGUAGAAAAUGAUGGAAUUUUUAACA